Molecule: ribosomal RNA, 455 nt
Filed under: Limosilactobacillus fermentum
Lineage: Bacteria; Bacillati; Bacillota; Bacilli; Lactobacillales; Lactobacillaceae
Description: bacterial SSU rRNA
Rfam family: Bacterial small subunit ribosomal RNA
Source: RNAcentral
AUGUGGUUUAAUUCGAAGCUACGCGAAGAACCUUACCAGGUCUUGACAUCUUGCGCCAACCCUAGAGAUAGGGCGUUUCCUUCGGGAACGCAAUGACAGGUGGUGCAUGGUCGUCGUCAGCUCGUGUCGUGAGAUGUUGGGUUAAGUCCCGCAACGAGCGCAACCCUUGUUACUAGUUGCCAGCAUUAAGUUGGGCACUCUAGUGAGACUGCCGGUGACAAACCGGAGGAAGGUGGGGACGACGUCAGAUCAUCAUGCCCCUUAUGACCUGGGCUACACACGUGCUACAAUGGACGGUACAACGAGUCGCGAACUCGCGAGGGCAAGCAAAUCUCUUAAAACCGUUCUCAGUUCGGACUGCAGGCUGCAACUCGCCUGCACGAAGUCGGAAUCGCUAGUAAUCGCGGAUCAGCAUGCCGCGGUGAAUACGUUCCCGGGCCUUGUACACACCGCCC